AGAGUUUGAUCCUGGCUCAGGACGAACGCUGGCGGCGUGCUUAACACACGCAAGUCGAGCGGAAAGGCCCUUCGGGGUACUCGAGCGGCGAACGGGUGAGUAACACGUGAGCAACCUGCCCUUGGCUUUGGGAUAACCCUCGGAAACGGGGGCUAAUACCGAAUAUCCAUCUUCGAUCGCAUGGUGGUUGGUGGAAAGUUUUUCGGCCAGGGAUGGGCUCGCGGCCUAUCAGCUUGUUGGUGGGGUGAUGGCCUACCAAGGCGACGACGGGUAGCCGGCCUGAGAGGGCGACCGGCCACACUGGGACUGAGACACGGCCCAGACUCCUACGGGAGGCAGCAGUGGGGAAUAUUGCACAAUGGGCGAAAGCCUGAUGCAGCGACGCCGCGUGAGGGAUGACGGCCUUCGGGUUGUAAACCUCUUUCAGCAGGGACGAAGCGAAAGUGACGGUACCUGCAGAAGAAGCGCCGGCCAACUACGUGCCAGCAGCCGCGGUAAUAC
RNAcentral lists this ribosomal RNA (501 nucleotides) under uncultured bacterium. RNAcentral's name for it is "bacterial SSU rRNA". It matches the Rfam family "Bacterial small subunit ribosomal RNA", at positions 8 to 526 of the family's 1533-position model. The record is from RNAcentral.